UACCCCCUCUCCCCCCUUUCACACACCGUGCGAAAUCGGGCAGGUUGUGGUCUUGUGCUGCGGCACUUGGCCGAAAUUCAGUGAUACUGCAGGGACCGUUAAUCGGACUCCAGCUUGGUAGGCUUUUCCCUUGUGGAAUUAUGCAUGCCGCUGUUGGCCGUGGACCACUGCAGCUGUCAAGCAGGGAAACCUUUCAAA
This 198-nucleotide unclassified non-coding RNA is filed under the name uncultured Asterochloris. RNAcentral describes it as "partial internal transcribed spacer 2". The record is from RNAcentral. Lineage: Eukaryota; Viridiplantae; Chlorophyta; Trebouxiophyceae; Trebouxiales; Trebouxiaceae.